AGUCGCGUAGCUCAGUUGGUUAGAGCGUUGAUCUUAUGAGCUGAAGGUCGCAGGUUCGAGGCUCGCCGGGACCA
This is a non-coding RNA of Jatropha curcas, 74 nucleotides long. NCBI's taxonomy places the organism in Eukaryota, Viridiplantae, Streptophyta, Magnoliopsida, Malpighiales, Euphorbiaceae. The record is from Rfam.